This 314-nucleotide unclassified non-coding RNA is filed under the name plant metagenome. RNAcentral describes it as "partial contains 5.8S ribosomal RNA, internal transcribed spacer 2, and large subunit ribosomal RNA". The stretch from base 1 to 105 matches the Rfam family "5.8S ribosomal RNA", at positions 50 to 154 of the family's 154-position model. The record is from RNAcentral.
GAAAUGCGAUAAUUAAUGUGAAUUGCAGAAUUCAGUGAAUCAUCGAGUCUUUGAACGCACAUUGCGCCCCCUGGUAUUCCGGGGGGCAUGCCUGUCCGAGCGUCAUUGCUGCCCUCAAGCACGGCUUGUGUGUUGGGCUUCCGUCCCUGGCAACGGGGACGGGCCCAAAAGGCAGUGGCGGCACCAUGUCUGGUCCUCGAGCGUAUGGGGCUUUGUCACCCGCUCCCGUAGGUCCAGCUGGCAGCUAGCCUCGCAACCAAUCUUUUUAACCAGGAUGACCUCGGAUCAGGUAGGGAUACCCGCUGAACUUAAGC